Molecule: ribosomal RNA, 253 nt
Filed under: uncultured bacterium
Lineage: Bacteria
Description: partial 16S ribosomal RNA
Rfam family: Bacterial small subunit ribosomal RNA
Source: RNAcentral
UACGUAGGGACCGAGCGUUGUCCGGAAUCAUUGGGCGUAAAGAGCGUGUAGGCGGCCUUUUAAGUCCUGCGUGAAAUCCUGCGGCUCAACCGCAGACGGUCGUGGGAAACUGGAAGGCUAGAGUGCGGGAGAGGAGAGUGGAAUUCCCGGUGUAGCGGUGAAAUGCGCAGAUAUCGGGAAGAACACCCGUGGCGAAGGCGGCUCGCUGGGACGUUACUGACACUGAGGCGCGAAAGCGUGGGGAGCGAACAGG